This 280-nucleotide ribosomal RNA is filed under the name Shigella flexneri. Its description in RNAcentral is "partial 16S ribosomal RNA". It matches the Rfam family "Bacterial small subunit ribosomal RNA", at positions 1 to 278 of the family's 1533-position model. Lineage: Bacteria; Pseudomonadati; Pseudomonadota; Gammaproteobacteria; Enterobacterales; Enterobacteriaceae. The record is from RNAcentral.
AAAUUGAAGAGUUUGAUCAUGGCUCAGAUUGAACGCUGGCGGCAGGCCUAACACAUGCAAGUCGAACGGUAACAGGAAGCGCUUGCUGCUUCGCUGACGAGUGGCGGACGGGUGAGUAAUGUCUGGGAAACUGCCUGAUGGAGGGGGAUAACUACUGGAAACGGUAGCUAAUACCGCAUAACGUCGCAAGACCAAAGAGGGGGACCUUCGGGCCUCUUGCCAUCGGAUGUGCCCAGAUGGGAUUAGCUUGUUGGUGGGGUAACGGCUCACCAAGGCGACG